UACGGAAGGUCCGGGCGUUAUCCGGAUUUAUUGGGUUUAAAGGGAGCGCAGGCCGGAUGUUAAGCGUGACGUGAAAUGCCGCGGCUCAACCGUGGAAGUGCGUCGCGAACUGGCGUCCUUGAGUGGGUUCGACGCCGGCGGAAUUCGUGGUGUAGCGGUGAAAUGCUUAGAUAUCACGAAGAACCCCGAUUGCGAAGGCAGCGUACCAGUCCUUUACUGACGCUAAAGCUCGAAGGUGCGGGUAUCGAAC
RNAcentral lists this ribosomal RNA (250 nucleotides) under uncultured prokaryote. RNAcentral describes it as "partial 16S ribosomal RNA". It matches the Rfam family "Bacterial small subunit ribosomal RNA", at positions 524 to 773 of the family's 1533-position model. The record is from RNAcentral.